ACACCUGUGACGAAGUGGUAUCGUGCCGUUCUUAUAUUUGUCAAGCGAUGCUCGACCUAUAUGGCAAUGCGGAAGUCGAGGGUUCGAACCCCUCCAGGUGUA
This is a non-coding RNA of Peltaster fructicola, 102 nucleotides long. The record is from the annotation of a GenBank genome assembly. Lineage: Eukaryota; Fungi; Ascomycota; Dothideomycetes.